CCAACAAGUGCACAAGUGCACAGCAAAAUAAUGCUACAAGUGCCCGUGCACAGCAAAAAGACCCAACAAGUGGACAGGCGCACAACAACAUAGUUCUACAAAGAUUGGACGAGAUGGGCAAAUUUUAGUUGAUCACACAUAACAUCAAUGAGAAAUGAAGCUUCUUCUGCCCUUCACUUCUUUUGAGUGCUUCAAAUCAUCCUGGUAAUUGGAACAAUCAAACAUAAGAAAUCACACAAAAUAUGAGCAAACAAAAUAUAAAGGGAGGUUUUACAUUCAGCAAUUAACACAAGACUAAUACAUGCUCCCAUAGAAAUUUCAGGAAUUGCAAGAUUAUUCUUGUGUUAGCUCAACACUUUGUGCAAAAAAAGCUCACAUUAAUAACUUCCAACAUGAAGAGAUGUGAAUCAUAUAUCUUUAACACAGUAAAAUAAACAGCACCGGCAUGAGCACCACAACACAACACAGCUCAUAUACCACCAAACCAAACUGACCAUUGCAAACUAUAAGUUGACCUCAACACAAACAACACAUUCACACAAAGUAUGCAUGGCUGAAACACAACCUCAUAUGUAGACUUUAACUUAAUUCAUGAGUUUGAAUCAAAGGAGUAACAAUCAGAACCAUUUCCUGUAGUGAUGUCAACCUUUAUUGUUGAACAGGAAAAUGCUAAUAGCUAGUUACAGAGAUAAACAUAAUCCUCCCAGAAGAGUCUUGGCAAUUUGCAUUAAAUAUUAACAUGGUUGCAAAACUUCAGUUUGAGGGUAGCAUGUUUCUUUAGCCUUUACUUGACUGGAAUUACAAAAUGAAGCACAUGAACAAAUCAUACGAACAAGCAACCCCAUGAAGACCGCUCACUUGAAUCUUGUUUAUACUUUUCUUGCAGAUUAAGAUGUGGGGGAAGAGCAUUACCUUGAUGGGAUCUGAGUAGUAGCAUACAACCUGGAUAGUGUAGACUAACUCCGGAGGAAAAAUAUUACAUUUUCUCGAAGGUGAGAUUGAGCUAGACAUUGCCAAAAAAUCCUUGCGUUCACUUGGUUCAGAUCUUCCCUACGAGGUGAUGAGCAUUCCACUGCAGCAAACCAAUAGAUAAAAAUCAAAAUACAACCACUUUCAUCGAGACAACUACAAGCCAAGUUUAGCUAAUAUGACUUCUAUAGCAUGCAAGAUGUUUCUUAGAUCAACAAAAGUUGGAUGAACAUUCUAAAAUCAAUCUAAUAACUAGACUAACAUAUAAAUGUAGAUUGAACAAAAACAAUAAAAAAAGCUACGACGGGGAACCCUUGAGCGACAUAUAAUGAGUAGAGUAUUCAAUGAAGGUCAUAUUUUCCACAAGACUGAUCAAAACAAGAAAUAUUCGAGUCUACUAAUUUAUUACUGAAUCACAUAACAUCAUAGGAGAAAACAAUGAUUUUGAAGUUUAACUAAGACAUGCAUAUAGGCUAAGGAAUAGUAAGUCACAGCCAAAAGCAUUUCGACUUCCAUUUAUUUGCACCCACACAAUCAUCAUGUGCUCACAGUUCAGAUCAGGUUAUUUAAUCAUGUAGCUCUGCAUUGUUGCUGGCCUGACUAAACUCGUCCUCUAGCAUACGGGGAUACGACAAUUUGAUUAGGUAAGGAUUAUAUGAAUAUAAAAG
RNAcentral lists this long non-coding RNA (1637 nucleotides) under Triticum aestivum (bread wheat). RNAcentral describes it as "long non-coding RNA (TAES_LNC000936)". Lineage: Eukaryota; Viridiplantae; Streptophyta; Magnoliopsida; Poales; Poaceae. The record is from RNAcentral.